UGAGGUGUUUGCAUUUAUUUGUCUACUACACACUUGAAAUUUCAAUGUAAUGACAGUUAUACUUGUUAUUGUGUUUCUUUCUUAACUCUUUUCAGUUUUAAAAUGGACAGUUUCUGUAACCUUUUGGGUUUUUGUUUUUGGUUACUCUCAUAGGUCCCUGAUCCACCAAUCCCGAGAUCAGUCUUUAAGGUGUAGCUCUCUAUAAAAUCUUAUUUCUCUUUUCUGAACCGGGCAGCUCCUUUGUCUUCUUGGCAGCCUGCUCAGGAU
RNAcentral lists this long non-coding RNA (267 nucleotides) under Elaeis guineensis (African oil palm). RNAcentral's name for it is "long non-coding RNA (EGUI_LNC005343)". Lineage: Eukaryota; Viridiplantae; Streptophyta; Magnoliopsida; Arecales; Arecaceae. The record is from RNAcentral.